Molecule: long non-coding RNA, 4215 nt
Filed under: Brachypodium distachyon (stiff brome)
Lineage: Eukaryota; Viridiplantae; Streptophyta; Magnoliopsida; Poales; Poaceae
Description: long non-coding RNA (BDIS_LNC005839)
Source: RNAcentral
GUGGUUCGUUAGGGAUGGUAUUGUGAACCUUGAUUUGCAACAGGGUAGCUACCGUGCUGAAGAUAGCCAGACAGCAUGGCUGCAGGGAAUUGACAGACAGACUAGAUUAUAGAAUAUUAAGGGAGGUAUUAGAUUUUAUUGUUUUUGUCUUAAAGAUACAUGUUAUCUUUAAGUAGUGGUUGCUUAGGCCCUUUAUCUUUCCUAACAUAAUGUGAACACCUAACGGAUUAGACUCUUUCUAUUCCCUGAUUUCCUAAAACAAUACUACUGCCUAUAUAACACCCCUGUUCUCCCUUAGGCCUGGUUUACUUGUUGCCAGCCUUCUUUCUAUUCCCUGAUUUCCUAAAACAAUUCUACUGCCUAUAGAACACCCCUGUUCUCCCUUAGGCCCGGUUUCCUUGUUGCCAGCCCACAACAUUACAAUCCUCCAGGAUAGGCAUCUUGUUCUCAAGCUGCGGGACGGCGGCCAUGGUUACAGCCCUAGGUUACCCCAUUUGGAAGAGACUUGGCUGCAUGGAUGCUUCAAGUCGUGACAUAUACACUUGCUGGACACCAUGCCAUACACACUCCUUUCCUUGCUGGACUACAUGUCAAACUCAGACAAUAAUUCUGAGUUUGUGUGAGUCCUGAAUUCUCUUGCACGUAUAAAUAAGGAAUUGCGCAUCCCUGAAAGUUGCGACUCUCUUAACAUGUCUGUACCUCUGCAAGAGAAACACAUUUAUAAAUAUCAGAAUUCAAUCUGAGUUCAUUUGGUUUGUCAUAUGAAAUAAUCUUUCCAAGUUAACAUUGCGUGAGCAAGUAAAAGGAUGCGCAGUUGCUCAAACAGUGGCUUAUCCGGGAGAAUCCACAAAUAUUCUUUAUUUCCUUUAAUACAGGCCCUCGUUUUUAUUCCACUGUUCUUUUUUUCUAAUGAUGAAAGACUAAUGUCUUCCUUCAUAACUUUUCCCUUUUUUUUGCCCAGCUGUCAAACACACAUAAUUAAAUCCAAAGUCCUUUUCUAUGUCUCCUUUCCUUUCGUGGUUUUGCUUUCCAUCAUUAACUUGCUCUAGUCUUUGACUAUCUCCUGGAUCAAUCACGAACUGAUGUGCACGAUUGUUUCAUUUAGCCUGCCGCACACGAAUCUGGCUCCAAUUCUUCUGUCUGUCAUUGUUUUCUUACCUCCUUCCUCUGCAGCUCGUGCUCCUUUCCAGGCCCCCCUUGCUUACUGGCACUACAUGUGGCGUGUACAUGCCCAUAGCUUUGCAAUCACGUGCUGCAGCUGCCACAACUUUUUGCUUCACCUCCAUCAUUGAAUCAAGCUCCUACGCCAUGGAGAGCCUCACAUCCACGUUUGGCUGCACCGACUCUGCCUCCUAUUGCUCCUCCUUUGUGACUUCUUUCACGUGUUCUUCUCCUUCCUCCAGGGUUCGCACUCGUGGCACACUCAUGAUAGCCAGAAAAUCUUGGCGAAAAGCAGCAAUCCUCAAUUUGUUAUUUUGCUUACAAAUAUCAGUGCUCAUGGCUUUCACCAAGCUGGCCAGGUUGCCCUGAUUUUUGUCUUGCACUUUGGAAGCCAUGGCGAUCAGCUCAUAACUACCAUGCUGAAGAUAGCCAGAUUGCUGUGGGGAACUAGAUACACAUAUACUAGAUUGGUUCUUUCUUCUUUUCUUAAACCUUUCCAGGAUACAUGACAUCCUUAUAUACUGAAUGCUUAAAGUGGUGCCUAAAGUACCUCUAAUCUCCCUCAGUUCAGAACCCCUUCUGCUACAGCAGAUAUCCUCCGUACGUUGCGGCUACAGGACCAUGUAGAAAGUGUAAAUGUUGAUGCGCUUACAUGUUACAGAUGAGUUUUGUGAAACUGAUAUGCAUGGUGUGCUUACCUUGAUUUAACUCAGUAGUAUGGUCAUGAAAAAAAUCCGUGCAAUAAAACUAUAGUUAUGGUAGAUUUAUAAAACUGAUAUGCAUAGAGUCCAAAAUUAAUUUACAGUUGCUUGUUUUCAAACUUCAAUAAAACUAUAGUUAUGGUAGAUUUAGAGCGUAAGCGUGUAAAACUUGUUUCAUUAAAUGAUAUCCUAAAUCCAAAUUAUUGCUUGCUUAUUUAGACAUGAUUAGAUUUCAUAAACUUUGGGUUUUCAGAAUCUUGACUUAUGAGGACAUGAAUAUGAACUCUUGCUUUUGUUACAAGCUACAACAGUUUUUGAAGUCACACUCUGUUGGGUUAAUGAACUGAAUGUGCCUUUUUUUUUUGCAAUGCAUGUCCUGGACAUUUAUUCAGGAAUUUGGUCGGAAAAUAGAUAAUAUGCCUCCAAUCUUACUAUCUGUAGUGUUCUAAACUUAAUAUUUUUAUAUUUCUUAGAUAUUAGUUGAUCAAAUGCAACAGCCUUUUGUUUUGUUAUAUGAUUCUGAAGUUUUUCCAAAUAUAUGUCGUCUAAUUUUAACGUUUGUUGCAGCUCACUUAUGCACCAAGAAUACACACUGCAUUUUCCGGGCCUGCAGUUUAUUCAAGGUUUAAAGAUGAUCGUUUACAUGCAUGCAAGGAGGAUGCCAAGUUUACCUGGGUCAGAGCACUUGAUUUUACACCUAACCAAUCUUUUGGGAAGUGUUCCACUCUUGUCAUAAAACUGGAUGAAGAUGCACUCAUGUCGUAUAUUCUCAAUACCUUACCUUUCUCGGGAGUGCUAGGGGAAUUGGCCAUUUCUUCGAUGGAUGUUGUUGGACCCUCGUCCAAAGCGGUUCCCCUUGUUGACUGCCCGCAUGGCUGUUCAGUAUCUUAUGAAGUUCUUUUUCGACUCAACUCUCUUGUUCACAUGGGGAAGAUAGUUGCAAAACAUGUAAAUGCUAAGCUGUUUGCAUUUCUUGAGCAAGUACCACUUCAUAUUUCAAGGAGGAUUUUCGAGAAAAUGAGCAAGUUAGAGUCUACGUGCUACGAACCUCUGCAAUUCAUCGAGUCUGAACUAAAGCUAACCCACAACGCUUUGCUGUCCAGUAAGAGGGAAGGUGAAGGAAAAUUAAUGAGGUGUUACAGAAUUCACAUUACUCCGUCAAAAAUAUACUGCUUGGGACCUGAGGAAGAAGCUUCAAAUUAUGUGGUUAAGCAUCAUUCUGAGUAUGCUUCUGAUUUUGUUAGAGUUACUUUUGUUGACGAAGACUGGAGUAAGCUUAGUGUUAAUGCAAUCUCAGCUAGAAUUGAACAAGGGUUCUUUUCUCAACCCUUCAAAACUGGCCUGUAUUACCGCAUUUUAUCCAUUCUUAAAGAAGGAUUUAUCAUUGGCCCAAAGAAGUUUGAAUUCUUGGCCUUCUCUGCAAGUCAACUUCGUGAAGGUUCUGUUUGGAUGUUUGCUUCUAAUGAUUCGUUGAAUGCAGAGAGUAUAAGAAGGUGGAUGGGCCACUUUGAAGAAAUUCGUUCAGUGUCGAAGUGUGCGGCUAGAAUGGGCCAGCUGUUCAGUUCUUCCAGGCAAACGGUUGAAGUCCGACCAUGGGAUGUGGAAGAGAUUCCAGAUAUUGAAGUCACAACUAAUAACACAAAAUACAUAUUUUCUGAUGGUAUUGGGAAGAUGUCUGUGAGAUUUGCCAGAGAAAUUGCUUACCGAAUUGGACUAGAUCAUACUAACCCUCCUUCAGCUUUUCAAAUAAGGUUUGGUGGCUACAAAGGAGUGAUUGCUGUUGACCCUUCUUCCUUUCGCAAUCUUUCUCUGCGACCUAGUAUGAGGAAAUUUGAAUCAGAUUGCAGGAUGCUUAACAUUACAAGUUGGAGCAAGUCCCAGCCAUGCUACGUGAAUCGAGAAAUUAUCUCUCUCCUUUCAACUUUGGGGAUAAGAGAUGAGGUAUUUGAGUUAAUGCAACAAGAUGAUAUGCGUGAAUUAGAUGAAAUGCUAACCAACAAAGAAGUUGCUUUGUCAGUCCUGGGGAAAAUUGGCAGUGCCGAAACUAAGACAGCAGCGGAUAUGUUGCUACAAGGUUAUGAACCAAUUUCCGAGCCAUACCUGUUGAUGAUUCUCAAAGCCCAUCAGGAUAAUAGGUUGACUGACAUAAGAUCUAAAUUUAAGAUUCAUGUCCCAAAAGGCCGUGUUCUUCUUGGUUGUUUGGAUGAGACAGGUAAAUUAAAAUAUGGUCAAGUUUACAUCAGAAUUACAAAGAACAACAAAGAGCAGAAAGAGAAUGAACAACCUUAUUUUUCUGAAGAUGAUGGGAAAACAGUCACUCUUGUUGGAAAAGUUGCAGUCUCGAAAAAUCCCU